Molecule: ribosomal RNA, 723 nt
Filed under: Syphacia montana
Lineage: Eukaryota; Metazoa; Nematoda; Chromadorea; Rhabditida; Oxyuridae
Description: eukaryotic LSU rRNA
Rfam family: Eukaryotic large subunit ribosomal RNA
Source: RNAcentral
CAAGGAUUCCCAUAGUACCCGCGAGUGAACUGGGAAGAGCUCAGCGCUGAAUCACGACGGUAUAACUACCGUCGUGAACUGUGGCGUAUAGGUGUAACUGCAUCGGCAGCUAUUCGCACACUCAAAGUUCCCUUGAGUGGGGCUACUUCCGUAGAAGGUGCAAGACCUGUAUGAGUGGCUGGUGGUUGCCGAUAUUGGUUACUGCUUCAGAGUCGAGUUGCCUGGGAACGCAGCUCAAAGUCGGUGGUAAACCUCAUCUAAAGCUAAAUAUGACUUCGAGACCGAUAGCGAACAAGUACCGUGAGGGAAAGUUGCAAAGAACUUCGGAGGAAGAGUUCAAAAGGACGUGAAACCACUAGGGGGGAAGCGGAUAGAGUUAACAGCAUAAUGACGGCAUUCAGCCGAUGGCCGCAACGAACGGUAUGCAAAGUGUUCCGAAGCAAUCCGGCGCUUGCAUACUUGUAGCGUAUGUGCGAUCGGUGCUUUUGCCGUCAUUGGCGCGCUGAGGCACUCAGGGCGAUGUGUUGCAGGAUAUUGGCAGAGGACUGUGCUGCUUGUCAGUGCAGAACCCUACGAUAUCGUAAAGGCAUAUUCGCUGUGAGCGCAUGCUAUUAAAGCUCUGCCCGCAAUAGCGCAUAAGCGCAGCUGUGAUCGCAUUGGCUGUUGCCAGUGGCUUUGUCACUGUGUUUCUAGUCCGAGUGUAAUCAUGGUCGCGUCUGAUGC